RNAcentral lists this ribosomal RNA (442 nucleotides) under uncultured bacterium. RNAcentral describes it as "partial 16S ribosomal RNA". It matches the Rfam family "Bacterial small subunit ribosomal RNA", at positions 338 to 795 of the family's 1533-position model. The record is from RNAcentral.
CCUACGGGUGGCAGCAGUGGGGAAUAUUGGGCAAUGGGCGCAAGCCUGACCCAGCAACGCCGCGUGAAGGAAGAAGGCUUUCGGGUUGUAAACUUCUUUUAAGAGGGAAGAGCAGAAGACGGUACCUCGUGAAUAAGCCACGGCUAACUACGUGCCAGCAGCCGCGGUAAUACGUAGGUGGCAAUCGUUGUCCGGAUUUUCUGGGUGUAAAGGGCUUGCAGCCGGGAAGAAAAGUAAGAUGUGAAAUACCGCGGCUCAACCGCGGAACUGCAGUGGAAACUGUCUUUCUUGAGUACCGGAGAGGUCAUCGGAAUGCGUGGUGUAGCGGUGAAAUGCGUAGAUAUAAGGAAGAACACCGGUGGCGAAGGCGGAUGACUGGACGGCAACUGACGGUGAGGCGCGAAAGCGUGGGGAGCAAACAGGAUUAGAUACCCGAGUAGUC